Scylla paramamosain (green mud crab) is the source of this 1173-nucleotide long non-coding RNA. RefSeq lists it as uncharacterized. The record is from RefSeq and is a predicted model, not a curated record. Lineage: Eukaryota; Metazoa; Arthropoda; Malacostraca; Decapoda; Portunidae. The transcript is spliced from 4 exons.
GAGGAGCCAGUGUCAUCCCAGUGAGAUGUGGAUUAGUUGAGUUGUGUGCCUGGCCUGCUGCCUCAAUCCUCAAAACACAGCAUCAGCAGUGAUUCUAGGCAGAUUAUGCAUUAGUCAACUGGUAUUUAGCUGCAGCCCAGAUGGACAGUUCUUGGGUCAUGGGCCAUGUGAGUGUUUCUUGAUUUCAAGAGAAUGUUACCAGUUGAGGCAGAAGGACAGUUGGACAGACAGGACUACAGGGCACCUGACUGUACUGUGACACCAUCCACUGCUGCUUAGUAGUGGCAGUGUCAGAUGACGUGUUACCUUUGCUGGUGACGGCUCCUGUAGCACUGGCACACAAUGAUGGAAGCACUGGGUCAUCAGCUACUUAUAUUCCAGGUCUUAAGAUUACAGAUGUGUUGGAUGGUACUGUGCAAGUUAUACAUGAAGAUUGUGUGAAUGCAGUCAACACAAACACUGCAAGGGAAGAAGUCUUAAUUUCUGAGGAAAAUUAUGCAGCCUAUCAGCAGUUGGUUGUGAUGGUAAUAUCAGUCAGUUUCCAGAAUAAAACUAGAUCUUGCACUGCUGUUUUUAAGCCUUGUCACCAACUGGAUGGCAGCUGUUUCCCAUUUACCCUAGAAAGUGGUUUCCACAAGUUUUGCUUCUCUUCUCUUAGCUAAUUCUUAAAAUUAAGUAGGGCAGCGGAGACAGUAUCACUUCAUUGGUGUUUAUAUGGAUGGUGUUGCAGGGGAGGUGAAUGUGAGAAUGAUAGGUAGUGAUGGUAAAUUUAAGUUAGAAUCAGUUCCUUUACUGAUGACUCCCUCAUUGAAAAGAUGUAGACAGCUGGUAAAGGAUCUUAGAAUCAGUUCCUUUACUGAUGACUCCUUCAUUGAAAAGAUGUAGACAGCUGGUAAAGGACCUUAGAAUCAUUUCCUUUACUGAUGACUCCUUCAUGGAAAAGAUGUAGACAGCUGGUAAAGGAGUGUGUGAAGGGAAGAAAUUUAAUAAGAGACCAAGAGCAAAGUAAUGAAGGUAUGGCUGCCUCAAUCAACAGUGAGCUUGAUCACUGGAAGUAUACAACAUAACACACAAGCACUUUAUUAGUGUGAAAAUAGUUUGUUGUGGAGUAAAGCGCAAUCUUGAUAAUCCAGAACCUACUUAUGUUAUUUGAAUUAGAUAAACUACACUAAA